UACGUAGGGUGCGAGCGUUAAUCGGAAUUACUGGGCGUAAAGCGUGCGCAGGCGGCUUUGUAAGUCAGAUGUGAAAUCCCCGGGCUCAACCUGGGAAUGGCAUUUGGGACUGCAAGGCUGGAGUUUGGCAGAGGAGACUGGAAUUCCUGGUGUAGCAGUGAAAUGCGUAGAUAUCAGGAGGAACACCGAUGGCGAAGGCAGGUCUCUGGGCUGAAACUGACGCUCAUGCACGAAAGCGUGGGGAGCAAACAGG
This 253-nucleotide ribosomal RNA is filed under the name uncultured bacterium. Its description in RNAcentral is "partial 16S ribosomal RNA". It matches the Rfam family "Bacterial small subunit ribosomal RNA", at positions 524 to 776 of the family's 1533-position model. The record is from RNAcentral.